GUGGGGAAUAUUGGACAAUGGGCGAAAGCCUGAUCCAGCAAUGCCGCGUGAGUGAAGAAGGCCUUCGGGUUGUAAAGCUCUUUUACCCGGGAAGAUAAUGACUGUACCGGGAGAAUAAGCCCCGGCUAACUCCGUGCCAGCAGCCGCGGUAAUACGGAGGGGGCUAGCGUUGUUCGGAAUUACUGGGCGUAAAGCGCACGUAGGCGGUCUUUUAAGUCAGAGGUGAAAGCCCGGGGCUCAACGCCGGAAUUGCCUUUGAAACUGGAAGACUUGAACACGGGAGAGGUGAGUGGAAUUCCGAGUGUAGAGGUGAAAUUCGUAGAUAUUCGGAGGAACACCAGUGGCGAAGGCGGCUCACUGGACCGUUGUUGACGCUGAGGUGCGAAAGCGUGGGGAGCAAACAGGAUUAGAAACCCGGGUAGUCC
RNAcentral lists this ribosomal RNA (425 nucleotides) under uncultured bacterium. Its description in RNAcentral is "partial 16S ribosomal RNA". It matches the Rfam family "Bacterial small subunit ribosomal RNA", at positions 354 to 796 of the family's 1533-position model. The record is from RNAcentral.